RNAcentral lists this ribosomal RNA (253 nucleotides) under uncultured bacterium. RNAcentral's name for it is "partial 16S ribosomal RNA". It matches the Rfam family "Bacterial small subunit ribosomal RNA", at positions 524 to 776 of the family's 1533-position model. The record is from RNAcentral.
UACGGAGGGUGCGAGCGUUGUUCGGAAUUACUGGGCGUAAAGGGCGCGUAGGCGGCCUACUAAGUCAGACGUGAAAUCCCCCGGCUUAACCUGGGAACUGCGUCUGAUACUGGAAGGCUUGAGGAUGGGAGAGGGAUGUAGAAUUCCAGGUGUAGCGGUGAAAUGCGUAGAUAUCUGGAGGAAUACCGGUGGCGAAGGCGGCAUCCUGGACCAUUACUGACGCUGAGGCGCGAAAGCUAGGGGAGCAAACGGG